This 301-nucleotide ribosomal RNA is filed under the name uncultured bacterium. RNAcentral's name for it is "partial 16S ribosomal RNA". It matches the Rfam family "Bacterial small subunit ribosomal RNA", at positions 509 to 807 of the family's 1533-position model. The record is from RNAcentral.
CAGUCGCCACGGUAAUGCGUAGGGUGCGAGCGUUAAUCGGAAUUACUGGGCGUAAAGCGUGCGCAGGCGGUUGUGUAAGACAGGUGUGAAAUCCCCGGGCUUAACCUGGGAACUGCGCUUGUGACUGCACAGCUAGAGUAUGGCAGAGGGGGGUGGAAUUCCACGUGUAGCAGUGAAGUGCGUAGAGAUGUGGAGGAACACCGAUGGUGAAGGCAGCCCCCUGGGCCAAUACUGACGCUCAUGCACGAAAGCGUGGGGAGCAAACAGGAUUAGAUACCCGCGUAGUCCCUGUCUCUUAUAC